AAAGAAACGGAGAAAAACCGGUAAAAAAAAACGGAGGAGCUUGCCAAAGAUGAGGCCAUUACUGCUCGCCUUUAGGUCUCCUCCUUGAGAUAGCGUCUUUUAAAGAACGAGAGUCAGCACAACGUAAAAAAAAAACGAAAAAAAA
Molecule: non-coding RNA, 145 nt
Organism: Arachis ipaensis
Lineage: Eukaryota; Viridiplantae; Streptophyta; Magnoliopsida; Fabales; Fabaceae
Source: RefSeq, a predicted model, not a curated record